Molecule: ribosomal RNA, 585 nt
Filed under: Triticum aestivum (bread wheat)
Lineage: Eukaryota; Viridiplantae; Streptophyta; Magnoliopsida; Poales; Poaceae
Description: partial small subunit ribosomal RNA
Source: RNAcentral
AUGAUGAAUACUAAUGACCAUCAUAUAUCACAAAACAAGAUAAGACCAUGCUCGUCUCUUGAUAAACAACAAGAAGAAACACACAAGAUGUGCAUUGUAUUGGCCAUGCAAAUUGGCUGGGCAUCCAAAAACGGAUGCCCCCUAUAUUAUUGUUACCUCUUCUUCUGCCCAAAACGAAAAAAAUCACCUGCGGCUAAUUCUUCCAGGUUCCCUACCCAGCCAGCCAUGUAUGUAUCUUGUCAAUUUCAAUUAAACAUGCAAGACAGACAGAGGUUACGGGUUACCUGCACUGCACUGCCUAGGAUGAUAGUGGAUAUUGCUAUCAGUAUCAUCUCAAGACUUUCACCUCUAUCAUACAACAAUUUUUCAGUUCCUAGACUGAAAGAAAUCCCAAUGUCGACCAUCCUCGUGUUUUAUCGAUUGAACCAUACACCUACUGCAGGUACUGGUCAAUGUCAUUUCUUAAAAUCUGUCGACAAGAAAUGCCUGGCGCACUACACACAAAAUCUCUACUGGCAGUGCAAAUUAAAUGGUGGUGUACAAGACUGGGCGUUCAGAAACCCAUAUCCUAUAAUGUUAACCUGA